AUAGUAUGUACACUAAAAUUGGAAUGAUACAGAGUUUAGCAUGGCCCGUAUACAAGCGGAUGAUAUGCAAAUUUGUGAAGCAUUAAAAAAAACC
Molecule: small nuclear RNA, 94 nt
Filed under: Chinchilla lanigera (long-tailed chinchilla)
Lineage: Eukaryota; Metazoa; Chordata; Mammalia; Rodentia; Chinchillidae
Source: RNAcentral